This is a long non-coding RNA of Pantherophis guttatus, 347 nucleotides long. RefSeq lists it as uncharacterized. NCBI's taxonomy places the organism in Eukaryota, Metazoa, Chordata, Lepidosauria, Squamata, Colubridae. The record is from RefSeq and is a predicted model, not a curated record.
UAUUGCCUUCCUGAGGCUGCGAAAGAAUGACUAACCCAAGACCACUGAGUUGGCUUUGUGCCUAGAACUCAGUCUCCUGGUUUAUAGCUUGCACACAGGAAAUAAUCAGAAGGACCAGAGAGUCCAUUAAUCUAAUAUUUAUUGAAUAAGAAGAGGUGCAUGGAGUUGGACUGUCUCCCAUUAGCUCCAGCCUGAAUGACCAAAGAUCAGAGAUGAUGGAUGCUGAAAUCUAAUAAGCCACAGAUAUCCAUCAAGUGAAAAACUGCCCAUUCAGAAGCAUCAUCUUGGGCACGUCCAUCUGUAAACACAACUGACACCCUGGGAAUAUUUGCUGAGAUGCGCCUGGC